Molecule: ribosomal RNA, 454 nt
Filed under: uncultured bacterium
Lineage: Bacteria
Description: partial 16S ribosomal RNA
Rfam family: Bacterial small subunit ribosomal RNA
Source: RNAcentral
GAUGAACGCUGACAGAAUGCUUAACACAUGCAAGUCAACUUGAACUUCGGUUUGGGUGGCGGACGGGUGAGUAACGCGUAAAGAACUUGCCUCACAGCUAGGGACAAUAUUUGGAAACGAAUGCUAAUACCUGAUAUUAUGAUUAUAUGGCAUCGUAUAAUUAUGAAAGCUAUAUGCGCUGUGAGAGAGCUUUGCGUCCCAUUAGCUAGUUGGAGAGGUAACAGCUCACCAAGGCGAUGAUGGGUAGCCGGCCUGAGAGGGUGAUCGGCCACAAGGGGACUGAGACACGGCCCUUACUCCUACGGGAGGCAGCAGUGGGGAAUAUUGGACAAUGGACCGAGAGUCUGAUCCAGCAAUUCUGUGUGCACGAUGAAGUUUUUCGGAAUGUAAAGUGCUUUCAGUUGGGAAGAAAAAAAUGACGGUACCAACAGAAGAAGUGACGGCUAAAUACGUG